This 327-nucleotide unclassified non-coding RNA is filed under the name soil metagenome. RNAcentral's name for it is "partial contains 5.8S ribosomal RNA, internal transcribed spacer 2, and large subunit ribosomal RNA". The stretch from base 1 to 119 matches the Rfam family "5.8S ribosomal RNA", at positions 35 to 154 of the family's 154-position model. The record is from RNAcentral.
GAUGAAGAACGCAGCGAAAUGCGAUACGUAAUGUGAAUUGCAAAUUCAGUGAAUCAUCGAGUCUUUGAACGCACAUUGCGCCCCCUGGUAUUCCGGGGGGCAUGCCUGUCCGAGCGUCAUUGCUGCCCUCAAGCUCAGCUUGGUGUUGGGGCCUGCUGCACUGGCAGCCCUUAAAAUCAGUGGCGGCGCCAUCUGGCUCUAAGCGUAGUAAUUCUUCUCGCUAUGGAGUCCUGGUGGAUGCUUGCCAUCAACCCCCAAUUUUUCUAUGGUUGACCUCGGAUCAGGUAGGGAUACCCGCUGAACUUAAGCAUAUCAAUAAGCGGAGGA